Molecule: unclassified non-coding RNA, 300 nt
Filed under: Helotiales sp.
Lineage: Eukaryota; Fungi; Ascomycota; Leotiomycetes; Helotiales
Description: partial contains small subunit ribosomal RNA and internal transcribed spacer 1
Source: RNAcentral
AAGUCGUAACAAGGUUUCUCUUGGGGAACAACACCUGCAGAAGCCUUGGAUACAAGUCUACCUACGUAGGCAACAUCUUCACCAUGCUUGGAUACCGUCAGGGUAACAUGCAGCUGCUUUUAUCGCAGUCCACAGAUCAAACGAAGGUGGUCCAAAGAGGGUCGACAAAACCUUUCUUGGAUUCAGAUAUGACCGGCCUACCUCUGAAAGAGUCGUAGACUAUAGCGUUCCGUAGGUGAACCUGCGGAAGGAUCAUUACAGAGAAAUUGCCCUUCGGGGUAGAUCUCCCACCCUUUGUUU